ACUCAUCUCUCCCCCCGUGCUCCUCCAUCCCACGACCUGCCCCACCCACACCUCUCUCCCCCGUGCUCCUCCAUCCCAUGGCGUCGCCGCCUCCCUCCCCGCGCCCCACUGCAGCACCGCCGCCGCCCUCGCGCACCCGCGCAGCCGUCUCCCCAGUGCCCUCGCGACCCAUGCGCCUCCUCGCCGCCCAGGCCAUGGAUCCGGCCAUGCCGCGGCGGACAGGCGACGGAUCCAGCCCCGCUGCACCGCCCAGGCGCCGGGGUCGAGCGUCGCCGUUCCCCACCGUUGUCCCGGCGACUGCCCCCAACCCCCUCCAACUCCCCUCGUCCUUGCCCCCCGAGCAGCAACAUGGAUCCGGCGGGCGGUGCACACCCUUACCUCCACCAGCCCGAGCGCCCCGCUGGCGUGCCUCCAGCACUGGCUCUGUGCGGCGCAGCAGUCCACUCCUCCCCACGCCGCCCACACCCUCCCAUCUACCGGAUCAGGUCGCGGCUCCCCUCGUGCUCGUAUCUUCCUCCCCUCCGGUAGCUCCACUCCGGCCCCAGCGGAACCACUCCUCUAGCUCAAUAUCCAUGGAGUCCGACGACCACGGACGUGUAGCUCGCAGGCAUGAGAUGUGGUUCAGUGCUCCUGUGGGUGUAGUUCAUGAGCGCGUCGGCGACGAUGGCAUCAACGCAGUGCACUCCGGUAGUUGCCGUGGUGCACUCUGGUGGCCGUUGUGGUACAGCUCAGUGGCUGGCCAGGUGAGGUUUGCUUUUCCUCUGCUUGUGGUUAAUCUAAGCACGAGCUUCAUCACCUCGGUGCUUUUGUCGUGUAGCUUGGUGACGCGACAGGUGCAGUCAGCUGAGCAGACACUCUUCUCCAAGCGAGAAGAGGAGGGCGAUCUUGGUUCCUGUCCACGUGCAGUUUCAGGGAGUAAAUUGCACAGAAGUACCACAAUUGGGGCAUUAGAAGCAGAUUGGUACCAAGAUUGGUAAUUUUUACGUGUCCGUACCAAGUCUGGGGCAAGCCGUUACAAAAAGGUCUAAACAGCGUAUAAACGUGUAUUGACGGUGUAUCUGACCGGUAGGGUUCAGUGAGGUAGGGUGCGGGCACGGGAGGCGCACAGGAGGCCGAAUCCGGCGAGGUAGGGUGCGGGCACGGGAGGCGCACAGGAGGCCGGCUCCGGUGAGGUAGGGCGCGGGCACGGGAGGCGCAGAGGAGGCCGGAUCCGGCGAGGUAGGGCGCGGGCACGGGAGGCGCAGAGGAGGCCGGAUCCGGCGAGGUAGGGCGCAGGAACGGGAGGCGCAGAGGAGGCCGGAUCCGGCGAAGUAGGGCGCUGGGGCGUUGCGGUCAAAGGGGAGGAGGCGGCGCGAUGCAGGGGCUCCAGCGUCGAGGAACGAAGGGGAUGGACGGAUCUGAGGCUCUCCAGCGCGGAUUGGCCGGGAACCAAGGCGGCGCGUCGGGUUGGAGCUACGGGAGGCCAUCCAUGGCGGCUUGACGUCGGGCUCCUGUCCAAUGGGCAAGAGAGAGAGAGAGCUCCGGGUGAGAGAGAGAGAAGAGAAAAUGGAAGAAAGAAGAAAAGGAGAGAGGCAGGGUGCGGGGAAAAGAAGGAGAGAGGCAGGGUGCGGGGAUGGCCUGGUCCUGGUCGCUGGUGGUGAUGCUCGAACGGCCGGCCGGCGGCGAGGCGAGGAGGAGGCUAGGGCGGGGCGAGGGUUAUGGGAAGCGAAGGAGCUUGGGAUCGAGGGGCUCCUCCCUCGAUCCAGAUCGUGCGCCACCGCGGUGGAGACGACGAACAACAGCGCCAGCGAAAUAGGGGGGUUUCUGCGAAAAACAUGCCACGUCGGCACCCGACAGGCGGGGUGCGCCGGUCAGAUACACCGUCAAUACGUGUUUAUACGCUGUUUAGACCUUUUUGUAACGGCUUGCCCCAGACUUGGUGCUGACACGUAAAAAUUACCAAUCUUGGUACCAAUCUGCUUGUAAUGGCCCAAUUGUGGUACUUCUGUGCAAUUUACUCAGUUUCAGGCGAUGCGCCCAUGCGGUGUGGAGCACAUGUGCAUGUAGUCCAUCGGCCAUGCAUGUAGUAUAGGUCGCAUAGUGGUGUAAUUCAUCGCUGAACCUGUGUUGUAGUUUUAGGUCGCAUAGUGGCGUGUGUGAUGCAGUUUUGCGUCUCCUCUCGGGUGGACACAUAGCUGCACCCCAGAUCGCCCAGUACUGCAACCCCUUCCUUCCUUUACUUAUUUUUUGCAGGAAAGAAAGUGGUGCAUUUCGGUUGGAUGUCCCGUUGGAGUUUGACCUUGUGCCAUUUCAGAUUAUACUGUGUAGUGCGACAUGAGUUUCUCUGCUUGGGGUGCUCUGGUACAGUAUGUACUUGUACGGCUGUGUAAAAAAUUAUGAAUUUGUGUGUUGAGCAUUCUGAAGCACUGAUGUUAUUUUUUUACUUCGAGAAAACAUGACGUGGUCCAUUAUGUGGUGGUUGGUAGUUUACUUUGUCAGAAGGGAGAAAAAGAAAUUCACGUGAGAGGUUCACUUCUUUUUUGAAAGAAGAUUGUUUUUGUGGGACG
RNAcentral lists this ribosomal RNA (2546 nucleotides) under Triticum aestivum (bread wheat). Its description in RNAcentral is "partial small subunit ribosomal RNA". Lineage: Eukaryota; Viridiplantae; Streptophyta; Magnoliopsida; Poales; Poaceae. The record is from RNAcentral.